This 72-nucleotide transfer RNA is filed under the name Ornithorhynchus anatinus (platypus). It matches the Rfam family "tRNA". Rfam says of the family: Transfer RNA (tRNA) molecules are approximately 80 nucleotides in length. Their secondary structure includes four short double-helical elements and three loops (D, anti-codon, and T loops). The record is from Rfam by way of RNAcentral. Lineage: Eukaryota; Metazoa; Chordata; Mammalia; Monotremata; Ornithorhynchidae.
AGCAGCAGGGCUCAGUGGGAAGAGCACAGGCUUGGGAGUCAGAGAUCGUGGGUUCUAAUCCCACUUCUGCCA